This is a long non-coding RNA of Zootermopsis nevadensis, 531 nucleotides long. RefSeq lists it as uncharacterized. The record is from RefSeq and is a predicted model, not a curated record. NCBI's taxonomy places the organism in Eukaryota, Metazoa, Arthropoda, Insecta, Blattodea, Termopsidae.
UGUGAGAACCUGCUGUAUAUGAAAUUAUAUUUUCUCAGCUUUUCAUUAUGUGCUUCUUAGUAAGCAAGGGGGACAAGUUUAGAUUUUAAAGUGUAUUUUGGCCGAGUGAAUGUAGUUAUUUGUUUUGUUGAGUGCAGAAACGUUUGCAAUGUAGAUCCAAAAUUAACUAGAAGGAAGCCGUCUUGUGUCCGGAGUUGCUAGUAGCCUCCAUGAAAUUAACACAGUGAGUUCAGACAUCCUAGAACCUCACGUACUAGCUGUUGCCACUCAGUGGAGCAAGGAAGAGGUACGUUCCUUCGAUGCCACGUCUGUUUUGAAUGGUGUGUUGUGCGACCAUGAAUAUUAUUCUCAAGAGAAUACACACAACAGGACGAAAAAAAAAGGAAGUGAGAAAGGGGGAAAUGAGAAGACUAUUAGAUGCCAGAAGAUAAGGAAAGAAAAAUAAAGAGUUUAAAGAAAAUCGAAGAGGAAGGUAAACAAGAAAAUAGUAAAUAGGAGAACGACUAAUAUUUAUAAUAAGUUAAGUAUUUU